GGGGGGGGGGGGGGGGGGGGGGGGGGGGGGGGGGGGGGGGGGGGGGGGGGGGGGGGGGGGGGGGGGGGGGGGGGGGGGGGGGGGGGGGGGGGGGGGGGGGGGGGGGAAAAAAAAAAAAAAAACCACUUCCCGGAGACGUCCAAGAUAUUUGGGGCAAGUUCCCCCUCCCCGGUCACCUGUGGGAUCCUGCGGGGCAGAAGCUCCACGGGCCGGGACGGCUGCGGACACAGGGCGCGGUGGACCCGCGAAUUUCCUCUUCUUCCUCUUUCUUCUUCUUUUUCUUCUUCUCCCCUGUGGAAGGUCAGACGGCUACAGAAGCUGAGCUGGGUAGCGCCGCAGACCUCCCGGCCCUGGUACAGUGGAAGCCGUGGGAGAGAUAAACUCAAGUCAAGAACAAAAAUGAAGACUCCUCGUCCUCUUCCAGCUUCUCCUCCUUUUCCGGCUCCUGCUCCUCCUCUUCCUCUAUCCUUGCUCUGCCGUCAGCUGCCCCCCUUGCGCGCCAUCCGUUCGGCUGCGGGCGAGCGGCUCUGGCGUGAGACGGGAAAGGGCGUGAUGUGAGCGGGGCAAGAAGGGAGAAGACGGGGGGGACCCCCAAACGGAGCGAUGGAGGAGAGGGGUGUUCCAGCGGACGGGAAAGGCCGAGUGUCACUUCCAGAACGGCGUUGCGGAGUGAA
RNAcentral lists this long non-coding RNA (674 nucleotides) under Ficedula albicollis (Collared flycatcher). Its description in RNAcentral is "lncRNA (ENSFALG00000027458.1)". The record is from RNAcentral. Lineage: Eukaryota; Metazoa; Chordata; Aves; Passeriformes; Muscicapidae.